AUUAGAGACCGGCGCACGGGUGCGUAACGCGUAUGCAAUCUACCUUUCACAGAGGGAUAGCCCAGAGAAAUUUGGAUUAAUACCUCAUAGUAUAGCAGUUUCGCAUGAAACCACUAUUAAAGUCACAACGGUGAAAGAUGAGCAUGCGUCCCAUUAGCUAGUUGGUAAGGUAACGGCUUACCAAGGCAACGAUGGGUAGGGGUCCUGAGAGGGAGAUCCCCCCACACUGGUACUGAGACACGGACCAGACUCCUACGGGAGGCAGCAGUGAGGAAUAUUGGACAAUGGGCGCAAGCCUGAUCCAGCCAUGCCGCGUGCAGGAUGACGGUCCUAUGGAUUGUAAACUGCUUUUAUACAGGAAGAAACACUACUUCGUGAAGUAGCUUGACGGUACUGUAAGAAUAAGGAUCGGCUAACUCCGUG
RNAcentral lists this ribosomal RNA (423 nucleotides) under uncultured bacterium. RNAcentral describes it as "bacterial SSU rRNA". It matches the Rfam family "Bacterial small subunit ribosomal RNA", at positions 87 to 507 of the family's 1533-position model. The record is from RNAcentral.